RNAcentral lists this ribosomal RNA (1080 nucleotides) under Triticum aestivum (bread wheat). Its description in RNAcentral is "partial small subunit ribosomal RNA". Lineage: Eukaryota; Viridiplantae; Streptophyta; Magnoliopsida; Poales; Poaceae. The record is from RNAcentral.
AUGUCUACCAUCUACAUGAGCCAGCUCUCUACUGCUUUCCCUCUAAUGGAGGAAGACCAUCACCAGGAUCACCAUCAGGGGCACUUCCAGGCCUUCACCCUGCCCAAGGAUCCCCCGAUCUUGUUCCCUUUUGUGAUCAGCAGCAGCAGCCCUAGCGACAACAGCAGUACUCUCAGCUACGGAUCAGACCAGCACUUGAUGCAGCACCAUGCCAUGCUAGAUCAGCCCCAACAUAUGAUCGGUGGAUCGUCGAGUGUGUUCUCGACGCCGUUCCCGACCGUCGAGAGCAUCCGCGACGACAUGAUCGAGCGAUCCUACUCGUACGAUCCAUAUGAUAUGGAGAAGCUGCAGGACACCAGCGGAUCGCUCAAGAUCGGCAAGUGGACGGCGCCUGCUCCUGCAGCCAAGAUGAGGAUCACGAGGAAGACGAGCGAUCCUGGUGUCAAGAAGCCGAGGAAGAGGGCGCAGGCAUACGAGGAUCAUGGCCACAUGGGCGGCAUGAACCAAGCUCUGGGCGUUAUUAGGACAUGCUCUGAUUGCAACACCACCAAGACCCCCUUGUGGAGGAGUGGUCCUUGUGGCCCCAAGUCGCUUUGCAACGCAUGCGGCAUCAGGCAGCGGAAGGCGCGCCGGGCGAUGAUGGCCACCGGGGCGGCGCCCGUCACCGAUGUUGGUGCUGCCAAGGCGGCCGCGCCAGGUGACGCCGCCGUGACCGUGCACCCACCGAAGGUGAAGAAGGAGAAGCGAGCUGCCGACGUCGACCGGUCUCUGCCGUUCAAGAAACGGUGCAAGGUGGUCCAGGAUCACGCUGCCACAAACGCCGCUGCGCCCACCACCGUCGAGGCUGCCGCAGAGCCGCCGGUCGUCGUCACCACUACCACCACCACUGCUGCUACGCCGGCGAGGGAUCUCGUCGACACCAUCGGGGUCAACUGGAGCAAGAGCCCUACUGGCGCCCCUGCAGCUGCCUGCUUCCGGCCAUCGCCGGCGCCCUUCGCGGUGCCGGUGCCGGUGCAGGACGAGAUCACGGACGCCGCCAUGCUGCUGAUGACGCUGUCCUGCGAGCUUGUCCGGAGCUGA